This 402-nucleotide ribosomal RNA is filed under the name bacterium. RNAcentral's name for it is "partial 16S ribosomal RNA". It matches the Rfam family "Bacterial small subunit ribosomal RNA", at positions 355 to 776 of the family's 1533-position model. The record is from RNAcentral. RNAcentral also lists the same sequence under 1 other name.
UGGGGAAUUUUGCACAAUGGGGGAAACCCUGAUGCAGCGACGCCGCGUGAUUUAGAAGGCCUUCGGGUUGUAAAAAUCUUUUCUAUGGGAAGAAAAUGACAGUACCAUAGGAAUAAGGACCGGCUAAUUACGUGCCAGCAGCCGCGGUAAUACGUAAGGUCCGAGCGUUGUCCGGAAUCAUUGGGCGUAAAGGGUACGUAGGCGGGUAAGCAAGUUAGAAGUGAAAUCCUAUAGCUCAACUAUAGUAAGCUUUUAAAACUGCUCAUCUUGAGGUAUGGAAGGGAAAGUGGAAUUCCUAGUGUAGCGGUGAAAUGCGCAGAUAUUAGGAGGAAUACCGGUGGCGAAGGCGACUUUCUGGCCAUAACCUGACGAUGAGGUACGAAAGCGUGGGUAGCAAACAGG